GGGUUGUGAGGUUAAGCGACUAAGCGUACACGGUGGAUGCCCUGGCAGUCAGAGGCGAUGAAGGACGUGCUAAUCUGCGAAAAGCGCCGGCGAGGUGAUAUGAACCUUUGACCCGGCGAUGUCCGAAUGGGGAAACCCAGUGCAAUCCGUUGCACUAUCGUUAACUGAAUACAUAGGUUAACGAGGCGAACCGGGGGAACUGAAACAUCUAAGUACCCCGAGGAAAAGAAAUCAACCGAGAUUCCCCCAGUAGCGGCGAGCGAACGGGGAGCAGCCCGGAGUCUGAAUCAGCUUGUGUGUUAGUGGAACGGUCUGGAAAGUCCGACGGUACAGGGUGAUAGUCCCGUACACGAAAGCACACAUGCUGUGAACUCGAAGAGUAGGGCGGGACACGUGGUAUCCUGUCUGAAUAUGGGGGGACCAUCCUCCAAGGCUAAAUACUCCUGACUGACCGAUAGUGAACCAGUACCGUGAGGGAAAGGCGAAAAGAACCCCGGCGAGGGGAGUGAAAAAGAACCUGAAACCGUGUACGUACAAGCAGUGGGAGCCUCUUUAUGGGGUGACUGCGUACCUUUUGUAUAAUGGGUCAGCGACUUAUAUUCUGUAGCAAGGUUAACCGUAUAGGGGAGCCGAAGGGAAACCGAGUCUUAACUGGGCGUUAAGUUGCAGGGUAUAGACCCGAAACCCGGUGAUCUAGCCAUGGGCAGGUUGAAGGUUGGGUAACACUAACUGGAGGACCGAACCGACUAAUGUUGAAAAAUUAGCGGAUGACCUGUGGCUGGGGGUGAAAGGCCAAUCAAACCGGGAGAUAGCUGGUUCUCCCCGAAAGCUAUUUAGGUAGCGCCUCGUGAAUUCAUCUUCGGGGGUAGAGCACUGUUUCGGCUAGGGGGCCAUCCCGGCUUACCAACCCGAUGCAAACUACGAAUACCGAAGAAUGUUAUCACGGGAGACACACGGCGGGUGCUAACGUCCGUCGUGAAGAGGGAAACAACCCAGACCGCCAGCUAAGGUCCCAAAGUCAUGGUUAAGUGGGAAACGAUGUGGGAAGGCACAGACAGCCAGGAUGUUGGCUUAGAAGCAGCCAUCAUUUAAAGAAAGCGUAAUAGCUCACUGGUCGAGUCGGCCUGCGCGGAAGAUGUAACGGGGCUAAACCAUGCACCGAAGCUGCGGCAGCGACACUAUGUGUUGUUGGGUAGGGGAGCGUUCUGUAAGCCGUUGAAGGUGUGCUGUGAGGCAUGCUGGAGGUAUCAGAAGUGCGAAUGCUGACAUAAGUAACGAUAAAGCGGGUGAAAAGCCCGCUCGCCGGAAGACCAAGGGUUCCUGUCCAACGUUAAUCGGGGCAGGGUGAGUCGACCCCUAAGGCGAGGCCGAAAGGCGUAGUCGAUGGGAAACAGGUUAAUAUUCCUGUACUUGGUGUUACUGCGAAGGGGGGACGGAGAAGGCUAUGUCAGCCGGGCGACGGUUGUCCCGGUUUAAGCAUGUAGGCGGAGGUUCCAGGUAAAUCCGGUACCUUAUUAACGCUGAGGUGUGAUGACGAGGCACUACGGUGCUGAAGUGAUAAAUGCCCUGCUUCCAGGAAAAGCCUCUAAGCAUCAGGUAACACGAAAUCGUACCCCAAACCGACACAGGUGGUCAGGUAGAGAAUACCAAGGCGCUUGAGAGAACUCGGGUGAAGGAACUAGGCAAAAUGGUGCCGUAACUUCGGGAGAAGGCACGCUGAUAUGUAGGUGAAGCCCCUGCGGGCGGAGCUGAAAUCAGUCGAAGAUACCAGCUGGCUGCAACUGUUUAUUAAAAACACAGCACUGUGCAAACACGAAAGUGGACGUAUACGGUGUGACGCCUGCCCGGUGCCGGAAGGUUAAUUGAUGGGGUUAGCGGCAACGCGAAGCUCUUGAUCGAAGCCCCGGUAAACGGCGGCCGUAACUAUAACGGUCCUAAGGUAGCGAAAUUCCUUGUCGGGUAAGUUCCGACCUGCACGAAUGGCGUAAUGAUGGCCAGGCUGUCUCCACCCGAGACUCAGUGAAAUUGAACUCGCUGUGAAGAUGCAGUGUACCCGCGGCAAGACGGAAAGACCCCGUGAACCUUUACUAUAGCUUGACACUGAACACUGGUCCUUGAUGUGUAGGAUAGGUGGGAGGCUUUGAAGCGUGGACGCCAGUCUGCGUGGAGCCAACCUUGAAAUACCACCCUUUAAUGGCUGGUGUUCUAACGUAGACCCGUAAUCCGGGUUGCGGACAGUGUCUGGUGGGUAGUUUGACUGGGGCGGUCUCCUCCCAAAGAGUAACGGAGGAGCACGAAGGUUGGCUAAUCCUGGUCGGACAUCAGGAGGUUAGUGCAAUGGCAUAAGCCAGCUUGACUGCGAGCGUGACGGCGCGAGCAGGUGCGAAAGCAGGUCAUAGUGAUCCGGUGGUUCUGAAUGGAAGGGCCAUCGCUCAACGGAUAAAAGGUACUCCGGGGAUAACAGGCUGAUACCGCCCAAGAGUUCAUAUCGACGGCGGUGUUUGGCACCUCGAUGUCGGCUCAUCACAUCCUGGGGCUGAAGUAGGUCCCAAGGGUAUGGCUGUUCGCCAUUUAAAGUGGUACGCGAGCUGGGUUUAGAACGUCGUGAGACAGUUCGGUCCCUAUCUGCCGUGGGCGCUGGAGAAUUGAGGGGGGCUGCUCCUAGUACGAGAGGACCGGAGUGGACGCAUCACUGGUGUUCGGGUUGUCAUGCCAAUGGCACUGCCCGGUAGCUAAAUGCGGAAGAGAUAAGUGCUGAAAGCAUCUAAGCACGAAACUUGCCCCGAGAUGAGUUCUCCCUGAGACCUUGAGUCUCCUGAAGGAACGUUGAAGACGACGACGUUGAUAGGUCGGGUGUGUAAGCGCAGCGAUGCGUUGAGCUAACCGAUACUAAUGAACCGUGAGGCUUAACCUUACAACGCCGAAGCUGUU
RNAcentral lists this ribosomal RNA (2931 nucleotides) under Enterobacter cloacae. RNAcentral's name for it is "bacterial LSU rRNA". It matches the Rfam family "Bacterial large subunit ribosomal RNA". RNAcentral also lists the same sequence under 2 other names. The record is from RNAcentral. Lineage: Bacteria; Pseudomonadati; Pseudomonadota; Gammaproteobacteria; Enterobacterales; Enterobacteriaceae.